CAGGUGCGGUGCUGGCGCCGAGAGAUGAAGAAUGCAUCGCUCUUUCAUGACUCAUACUUGGGUUGUGGACGCCAAAAUGAUACGGUCUCCUUACUUCUCAAUAGUACAUGUCUUUUGGUUGACCCUGAUCAAAUCAAUGACUCAUACACCUUCAAUUUUGGAAUAUUUUUCGAUGCUCAACAAUCCCGUGUGAUAGAUGCAACAACUGAUUUUCCUCAGAAGUUCUUCUACUGUUUUUGGUGGGGUUUGCGCGGUUUAAGGUUGGUGAAUGAUACUUUGUGUUCUUCUCUUAAUUUUGCCUUCAUCAUAUAACCUUUAGUGGAGCUAACAUGUAGGAAACAAAACAAAAAAAUACGAGACUAAUAACAUGCCAAAAGUAAUAAAUUUUGUAAUAUGUUACAGUUCUCUUGGACAAAACCUCAAGACAAGUACUUAUGUCCCGGAGAUAGCCUUUGCAAUUUUCAUUGCCAUCUUUGGACUAUUUUUAUUCUCACUACUUAUUGGAAACAUGCAGGUAAGUGUUGAUAAGGCCUAUUAUUAGAUCUUAGAGAUGAAAUGUUUUUCACAUAUAUAUUUUAUGGAGAACUUCUUGACACUCAAAUUAACAAAAAAAAAAAACAAACACAUAGGCUUAUUUAUAGAUUAUGUUGAACAUUGUUACAGAAAUAUCUGGAAUCUACAACUGUUAGGGAGGAAGAGAUGAGAGUGAAGAGGAGGGAUGCAGAACGGUGGAUGUCGCACCGUAUGUUACCUGAUAACUUGAAGCAAAGAAUUAGAAGGUAUGAACAAUACAAAUGGCAAGAAAAUAGAGGUGUUGAAGAGGAGACAUUAAUUCAUAACCUCCCUAAAGAUCUCAGAAGGGACAUAAAGCGUCACCUUUGCUUAGCUUUAGUCAAGAAAGUGAGUAACAUUCAUAAUAUCAUUUCACCAUCUAAUUUUUUUUGUCCAAUUAUAUGUACUAUAUUGCACAUGUGAUGUGUAAUAAGCAUUUCAUGUACUUUAAUGUUGCAUUAGGUGCCAAUGUUUGAGAAAAUGGAUGGGCAAUUGUUAGAUGCAAUGUGUGAUAGACUGAAGCCAGUUCUAUAUACAGAGAAGAGUUGCAUUGUUCGCGAAGAGGAUCCGGUCGAUGAAAUGCUUUUCAUUAUGCGUGGAAAAGUUGCUACCAUGACUACAAAUGGUGGAAGAACUGGUUUCUUCAACUCCUUAUUUCUAAUGCCUGGUGAUUUUUGUGGAGAGGAGCUUCUAACAUGGGCUUUGGAUCCUAACUCAUCCUCAAAUCUACCUACUUCAACUAGAACAGUUGAAACUAUAUCUGAAGUUGAAGCAUUUGCACUCAUGGCUGAUGACUUGAAGUUUGUUGCUUCCCAAUUUAGACGUCUUAUAAACAGCAAACAACUCCAACACACUUUUAGGCAAGGCUUGAUAUCGUGCUUUCUCCUUUUCUGUUUUAAUUUGAUGAUUCACCAUUACAUUUUAUGAAUAAGUGGAGUUCUACAUUAAAUAGGUUCUGACUUUUGAGAGUAAUGUGCUUAUAUAGUCUCAUCAAAUUCAAUUUGGGUUUAUCUUAUAACAUUAGCACAUGUAUAUGUAUUUGGAAGAGCUUACGAAAAUAACAUGUGACAUGCUCAUAUAUAGGUUGUUUUCAUCUUGGUUCAGUAAGCUGUGCAGAAUAGCUUAUAAAUACAGUUUAUAUCUUGUGUGAAAACAAUUUAACCGCAUUACCUCUUUGACAAGAGAUAUAACUCAUACAUAAAGGCUUAAUUUUAAAACAAAAAAAGAAUUUAUUGGUUAAACUUGUUCAACAAUAUAUACUUUUGCAGGUUAUAUUCACCCCAAUGGAAGACAUGGGCUGCAUGUUUCAUACAAGCGGCCUGGCGGCGAUACCGGAAAAAGAAGAUUGAUAGGACAUUGCGUGAAGCAGAAGACAAGCUACAAAAUGCUUUGGCAAAUGAGGAAGGAUCAACUAUAAGCCUUGGUGCAACCAUAUAUGCAUCAAGGUUUGCUGCAAAUGCAUUACGAAACUUGAGAGAAAAUAACAGACACAACAGAAUGCCGCAGAGACUAUUGCCUCUUUUGCCUCCAAAGCCAGCUGAACCUGAUUUCACUGCUCAGAAACACUAGGCCUAGCUUAGAAAUAUAAGUUUAGAUAUGAUAGAAACAAAACUACCAAAUGGAGUAUGUGAAACAUUAUCCAUACUCCAUUGUAUUUGUAUGCAUAUAUAUAUAUAUAUGUAACUCUGUAAAUUUUGCUUGUAGUAGGACAGAUAUAGUUCAUUUUGUCUGAACAAUAAAACACCUAGCUAGGUGCAUGUGGUUUUAUUUAUAGCACACUUUUUUUGUCCUUUAACAAAUGGUAGCAUUUGAGUAUUAAUUUUGUCUAUGGUACCCAAUUAGUAUUUGUCUAUGGUCUGUUGCCAAAUAAAUAUAUAAAAGGAACUGCAAGACCAAAUACUAUCCAUGUUACUGUUAGAAGCAUAUAUAAUUGUGUGUGUAUGCUGUGGUAUCCUCUAUAAUUGUGGGACAUGUGAUUGAAACCUGAGCUUCGAUUAUUGAAAGAGAGAAUGAUGACACCGGAAAGAAGCUCAACUUAAUGAUUAAUACUAUUAACUAUACUGUGAAUUGAGUAAAAACAAAACUAUAUUGUGAAUUGUACCGACAUUUUUAAAUUUUAUACUGUGAAUAGGUAUAAAAAAGAAAAUUAUUGGUAAUUAAUUUAUUAAAAACUAAUCUAUUGUGUAAAUAAAAAAUAGUCAUAUGUAUCUUUUCAUAAAUUAUUUGAUAUUUAAUAAUUAAUAAAAAAAUAAUACUUCAUCAUUCGUCAUAAACUAAGUACCAUUUUUAUUCAUUAUAUACUUAUUAAAAAAUAAUAUAAAUAAUAAUAGUAAUUUAAUAAAUUAUCUUUAUAAUUUUUAUGAAAUUAUCAUAUUAAAGAUAGAUGUGUUUAUCAUUAUAAAUGUAAAACAAAAAAUAUUCAAAAAAAUAUAUUAAAAUAUAAUAUUUUUAAAAUAAUAUAUAUAAUAAUUGUAGUUUAAAGAUAGUGUAUUGAUCUUGUACAAGAAUUUUACACUUUAAUUUCAUCUUAACUAUUUGAUCAUUGUUUCUUUAAAUUUUAAUCUAAUAACUAAACGGUACACUAGAUGGUAUAAUUAAGAAAUAAUAUCUAAUUUUAUAUUAAAAAUAACUGAGACCUAUAUAUUCCUUCAUUCCUUCAAAACUCUAAUUUCCCUUAAACCCUAAUUUCGGAAAAAUUUCCCCAAAUUCGACACUGGAACAUGAGAAGAGCCAAAGGAUGUACAACCUGUUCGCACACAAUCUCUGAGAGAUUCUAAGCGCAGGUAAUUCCAAUGAAGAUGUUGAUGAUGUUGAGGGGUUACCUUGCACGUUGAAAGAAAAUAAAAUUGAAGAGGUUGGACGCCGAUCUUGAGAGGCAUAGAACAAGACAUCCUCUAAUUUUAUUUUUAUUUUUUUUAUAAAUAACAACAAUAGAUUAAUCAAAUAAUAUUAAUAUAUUAUUAAAAUAUAUUUAAUUAAACAUAUGUGAUGUUUGAGAAACUGACGUCGACUUUUUCUCUUUAUUUUGAUUAUAUUUUCCAUAAUUUUUUUUAUAAGAAUAUAAUAAAAAGCAAUAAUCUUCCAAAUCGUUAAUCAUAUUAACAAUUAUACAAUUAAAGAUAAAAUAUAAUAAAUUAAUUCAACAAAUUCUAUAUAUAGAUAAAAAAAUUAUAAAUUGAAUCUAUUUUAUUUGAAUGAAUUGUGUGAUAUUCCAAAAACUUGUGUGAAUUGUAUGACGCAUGAAAAUUGUGUGACUCAUAAAAAUUGUAAAACAUGAGAAUUGAAUUUCUAAUCUUUUCAAUUUAUCUACUACGUACGAAUCGCGUCAAACUUUAAAAAAAACUAUAUCACUUUUAUAAACACGCUCCGGAACAUGCAUGGACGAGCGUUGUUCUGAUUAACAACGUUGAAGAAAAUAAAAUGCGGAUAGAGACAGGGGACAUGACAUCUCCUAAUUUUUUUUUUAUUUUUUUUAUAAAUAACGAAAAGCAAUAAAAGAUUAUUCAAUUGUUCUUAAAUAACAGUCCAAGUCGUUAAUCAUAUUAUAAAUUAUACAAUUAAACAGAUAAAAUAUAAUAAAUUAAUUCAACAAACUCUAUAUAUAGAUAAAAAAAAAUCAUAAAUUGAAUAUAUUUUAUUUGAAUGAAUUGUGUGAUAUUCCAAAAACUUGUGUAAAUUAUAUGACGCAUGAAAAUUGUGUGACUGGUAAAAAUUGUAAAACCUGAGUCUACUACCUACGAAUCGCAUCAAAUUUUAAAAAAAACUAUAUCACUUUUCUGAAUUUCAAUUAUAAUAGUUUAAUUAAUACUUAUAACUCUCUGACUCUGUAAAUAACAGAGUUAUCCUUCUUACUUUGAUCAAUCCUCACCUUUGAUUUUUAGCAGAAUGAGUUGUGAGAUGCUUCCCUUGUAAUGUGUUGACUCAUGUCAUAGGUACUAUGAGAGGUUAGUGGUCUGUAUCAUAUCCAUUUUAAUUAUAGUGAAUAAUAUCACAAUUAACCAUGUGAACAAAACAAGAAGGUUCUAUCAUCUAGAUUAACCGUAAUUAGUAUUAAAAACAAAACAAAUGAAAAAAUUCUACGCCUAGGUAAACCAUAAUUAGUAUUAAAUAUUGAUUUUGAUAAUAAUAUUAUUAUCAAAUUAUAAAACAUUUCUAAUUGUAUCUAAUAUUAAUUCUAUUAAUAAUUUCAUGAAUUAAAAUGAUCAAACUAAUAUGAUUUAAUGGCAACACUUUAUCUCUCUAAAUGCUACAUGUGGCCGUAUACAAGUAUUAAUUCAAAAACAAUUUCUUUUGAUAUCUAUAUUAUAUAAAAUUACAAAAAAAAAUCAUCAACUUUUAAUGAUAAUAUUUUAUCUCUCUUAAAUGCCACAUGAUAGUCUUAUACCAUACAAUCAUUUAUUUAAAACAAUUUUUUUCACAUUCAUUUCAAACAAUUUAAAAAUAGAAUCUACAAUAAAAAAGUUUGAUGAUUGGAGAUCAGAGUCAUCUUUUAGUAUAGAGAAUGAAGAUUUUGUAAACAAAAGAAAAAGGAGACCAAGUGUAAGUGAUGUUUUGAAGAGUAUGGGAAGAAGAUUUGAGAGUGGAUCAGAGAAGAUGAAGAAAUUCAGAAGACCUUCUUCAAUAGUCCAUCCUGUAAGUGAAGGACAAACAAAGAAACCGACUUAUUCUAAGCGAAAAAUUCUUGAUCCACAAGGGCCAAUGCUUCAGAAAUGGAACAAAAUCUUUGUACUCACAUGUGUUAUGGCAAUUUCAAUGGACCCUCUUUUCUUUUACAUUCCAGUGAUUGUUGGUAGAGAAAAAUGUCUUGAUUUGGAUGGAACAUUGCAGACUACUGCUAGUGUUCUUCGCACCUUCUUCGAUCUUUUCUACAUUCUUCGCAUCAUCUUUCAAUUUAGAACCGGAUUUAUUGCACCUUCUUCUCGUGUUUUCGGAAGGGGUGAGCUCAUUGAUGAUCCUGUCGCGAUAAUUAAAAGAUACUUGAGUUCUCAUUUCAUCAUUGACAUUCUAUCAAUUCUUCCAAUUCCACAGGUAUCUCUCACUUCAACUCAUUCUUUAAGUAUAUUUUCCAAUGACAAAUACCAAUACUUAUUCUGAUCCUCUGAAGCCUUGCAGCUCUCUCAAGCCAAAUGUUGACAGGUCAAUUAAUGUAAAGGCUGAGAGUCUCUCAUAGUUUGGAUUAUCUAUUGGCUGUUACAUUAUUCCAACGACCAACAUUUAACUAGAGAGAGUGUCAGGGAUUCAAAUGAUCCAUGUCAUAACCCAAGUAAGCCUAAGAAGAAUGAUUUAGGCCCAUGUGGCUCAAGGACUAGAAGUUCCCUUAGAUGAUGAGUCCCCAGUUUCUAGAAUGAGCUAGAUAAGUCCCAUUAUGAUGAGUCAUACUGUGUUAUAGUGCAGCCAAUAUGCCAAUUUUUGUUAUGCUUAGCUUGUAUAAGUCCCAUUACAAUCCAAGUUGAGUACUAUGGCAGAAAAGUUAAUUGAUUUGUCAUAAUAAUAUUCUUAACAUGAUUUUGUUGUUGUUUUGACAUUUCAGGUUAUAGUUUUGGCUAUAAUUCCACACCUGAAAAAUUCAGGUCCAUUUGCAGCAAAGGAUUGGUUGAAGUAUACAGUAUUAAUUCAGUAUGUGCCUAGACUCCUGCGGAUUCGUCCACUAUUCAAAGAAGUAACUAGAACUUCAGGCAUAUUAACAGAGACAGCAUGGGCUGGGGCUGUUUACAAUCUUUUACUCUACAUGCUAGCAAGUCAUGUAAAUUGAUUUAAUUGCAUUCUUCAGAUUCAAUUAUCUAAUAAAUGGUCCUAGUUACUAUGACAAAAUGUUAUGAUAACCAAAUUAUUGUGUGUGGCUGUGGCAUUUCAGGUGGUUGGAGCUAACUGGUAUCUGCUUUCAGUAGAAUCACAGGUGCGGUGCUGGCGCCGAGAGAUGAAGAAUGCAUCGCUCUUUCAUGACUCAUACUUGGGUUGUGGACGCCAAAAUGAUACGGUCUCCUUACUUCUCAAUAGUACAUGUCUUUUGGUUGACCCUGAUCAAAUCAAUGACUCAUACACCUUCAAUUUUGGAAUAUUUUUCGAUGCUCAACAAUCCCGUGUGAUAGAUGCAACAACUGAUUUUCCUCAGAAGUUCUUCUACUGUUUUUGGUGGGGUUUGCGCGGUUUAAGGUUGGUGAAUGAUACUUUGUGUUCUUCUCUUAAUUUUGCCUUCAUCAUAUAACCUUUAGUGGAGCUAACAUGUAGGAAACAAAACAAAAAAAUACGAGACUAAUAACAUG
Molecule: long non-coding RNA, 6815 nt
Filed under: Cicer arietinum (chickpea)
Lineage: Eukaryota; Viridiplantae; Streptophyta; Magnoliopsida; Fabales; Fabaceae
Description: long non-coding RNA (CARI_LNC000895)
Source: RNAcentral